AGAGUUUGAUCAUGGCUCAGGAUGAACGCUGGCGGCGUGCCUAAUACAUGCAAGUCGAACGAAACUUCUUUAUCACCGAGUGCUUGCACUCACCGAUAAAGAGUUGAGUGGCGAACGGGUGAGUAACACGUGGGCAACCUGCCCAAAAGAGGGGGAUAACACUUGGAAACAGGUGCUAAUACCGCAUAACCAUAGUUACCGCAUGGUAACUAUGUAAAAGGUGGCUAUGCUACCGCUUUUGGAUGGGCCCGCGGCGCAUUAGCUAGUUGGUGGGGUAAAGGCUUACCAAGGCAAUGAUGCGUAGCCGAACUGAGAGGUUGAUCGGCCACAUUGGGACUGAGACACGGCCCAAACUCCUACGGGAGGCAGCAGUAGGGAAUCUUCCACAAUGGGCGAAAGCCUGAUGGAGCAACGCCGCGUGGGUGAAGAAGGUCUUCGGAUCGUAAAACCCUGUUGUUAGAGAAGAAAGUGCGUGAGAGUAACUGUUCACGUUUCGACGGUAUCUAACCAGAAAGCCACGGCUAACUACGUGCCAGCAGCCGCGGUAAUACGUAGGUGGCAAGCGUUAUCCGGAUUUAUUGGGCGUAAAGGGAACGCAGGCGGUCUUUUAAGUCUGAUGUG
RNAcentral lists this ribosomal RNA (621 nucleotides) under uncultured bacterium. RNAcentral describes it as "bacterial SSU rRNA". It matches the Rfam family "Bacterial small subunit ribosomal RNA", at positions 8 to 596 of the family's 1533-position model. The record is from RNAcentral.